GAGAUUAUAGUUAAUUAUAACAUUUAAUUUGCAAUUAAAAAUUAUCAAAAGAUUAUUCUCA
RNAcentral lists this transfer RNA (61 nucleotides) under Pseudacysta perseae. RNAcentral describes it as "tRNA-Ala". Lineage: Eukaryota; Metazoa; Arthropoda; Insecta; Hemiptera; Tingidae. The record is from RNAcentral.